CAGCAGUCAAGAAUAUUAGUCAAUGCUCGCAAGAGUGAACUAGCUAACUGAAAUCAUUGGUGUGUCAUCAAUGAUAAUGUAAAGAAAAAUAAUGAUAUUACUUUACUAUUAGUGUCGUCCAAAUACUCGUGCCAGAAGACUCGGUAAGGCGAGAGACGCAAACGUUAUUCGUCUUGAUCAGGCGUAAAGGGUGUGUAGGCUGCUUUAAGAAUAUUUGUUAGGUUUACCUUUAUCUAUAAAUUAAUUUAAAUUAUGUUUUAAUAUUAUUUAUAAUAUAUUAUUUAUAAUAUGUUAUUUAUAAUUUUUUUUUACACGUACAAUUUUUAAGUAGAUUCUGCUAGCAAAUAUCAAUUAAAGCUAGAAUCUAAAGGAGGUUAAAACAAUACUUAAGGUAGGAGUACUAACCGUAAAUAUUAAGUAGAGUGCUAACGGCGAAGGCAUUUAUCCACUAAAGAUUGACGCUGAGAAACGAAAGUGAGGGCAGAAAAAAGGAUUAGAGACCCUUGUAUUCCUCACUGUCAACGAUGAAUGGUAGUUACUAGUUAGAAAUUAACUAGAGACGAUGUUAACACGAAAACCAUUCCGCCUUGUGAGUACAACUGCAAAGUUGAAAACAAAAAAAUUAGUCGGUUUCGGAGCAAACGAAGUGAAGCAUGUUAUUUAA
RNAcentral lists this ribosomal RNA (664 nucleotides) under Schizocorticium sp. RNAcentral describes it as "partial small subunit ribosomal RNA". It matches the Rfam family "Bacterial small subunit ribosomal RNA", at positions 349 to 949 of the family's 1533-position model. The record is from RNAcentral. Lineage: Eukaryota; Fungi; Basidiomycota; Agaricomycetes; Hymenochaetales.